Molecule: transfer RNA, 86 nt
Filed under: Lactiplantibacillus plantarum
Lineage: Bacteria; Bacillati; Bacillota; Bacilli; Lactobacillales; Lactobacillaceae
Description: Lactobacillus plantarum tRNA-Lys
Rfam family: tRNA
About the family: Transfer RNA (tRNA) molecules are approximately 80 nucleotides in length. Their secondary structure includes four short double-helical elements and three loops (D, anti-codon, and T loops).
Source: RNAcentral
GCGAGCGUAGUUCAACGGUAGAACAGCACUCCUUUGAGUUGCUAACUAACUACUUACAGAUGCAGGUUCGACUCCUGCCGCUCGUU